AGUGAACGCUGGCGGUAGGCCUAACACAUGCAAGUCGAACGGCAGCACAGGAGAGCUUGCUCUCUGGGUGGCGAGUGGCGGACGGGUGAGGACUACAUCGGAAUCUACUCUGUCGUGGGGGAUAACGUAGGGAAACUUACGCUAAUACCGCAUACGACCUACGGGUGAAAGCAGGGGAUCUUCGGACCUUGCGCGAUUGAAUGAGCCGCUGUCGGAUUAGCUAGUUGGCGGGGUAAAGGCCCACCAAGGCGACGAUCCGUAGCUGGUCUGAGAGGAUGAUCAGCCACACUGGAACUGAGACACGGUCCAGACUCCUACGGGAGGCAGCAGUGGGGAAUAUUGGACAAUGGGCGCAAGCCUGAUCCAGCCAUACCGCGUGGGUGAAGAAGGCCUUCGGGUUGUAAAGCCCUUUUGUUGGGAAAGAAAUCCAGCUGGCGAAUACCCGGUUGGGAUGACGGUACCCAAAGAAUAAGCACCGGCUAACUUCGUGCCAGCCGCCGCAGUAA
This 506-nucleotide ribosomal RNA is filed under the name uncultured bacterium. Its description in RNAcentral is "partial 16S ribosomal RNA". It matches the Rfam family "Bacterial small subunit ribosomal RNA", at positions 29 to 523 of the family's 1533-position model. The record is from RNAcentral.